RNAcentral lists this ribosomal RNA (346 nucleotides) under uncultured bacterium. Its description in RNAcentral is "partial 16S ribosomal RNA". It matches the Rfam family "Bacterial small subunit ribosomal RNA", at positions 338 to 681 of the family's 1533-position model. The record is from RNAcentral.
CCUACGGGUGGCUGCAGUGAGGAAUAGUGGUCAAUGGACGAGAGUCUGAACCAGCCAAGUAGCGUGAAGGAUGACUGCCCGAUGGGUUGUAAACUUCGUUUAUAUGGGAAUAAAAUGGUCCACGUGUGGGAUUUUGUAUGUACCAUAUGAAUAAGGAUCGGCUAACUCCGUGCGAGCAGGCGCGGUAAGACGGAGGAGCCGAGCGUUAUCCGGCUUUAUUGGGUUUAACGGGAGCGUAGGGGGAUUGUUAAGUCAGUUGUGAAAGUUUGCGGCUCAACCGUAAAAUUGCAGUUGAAACUGGCAGUCUUGCGUACAGUAGAGCUGGGCGGCAUUCGUGUUGUAGCGG